This 305-nucleotide ribosomal RNA is filed under the name uncultured bacterium. RNAcentral's name for it is "bacterial SSU rRNA". It matches the Rfam family "Bacterial small subunit ribosomal RNA", at positions 334 to 656 of the family's 1533-position model. The record is from RNAcentral.
AUUUCCUACGGGAGGCAGCAGUGGGGAAUAUUGCACAAUGGGGGAAACCCUGAUGCAGCAACGCCGCGUGAGUGAAGAAGUAUUUCGGUAUGUAAAGCUCUAUCAGCAGGGAAGAAGAUGACGGUACCUGACCAAGAAGCCCCGGCUAACUACGUGCCAGCAGCCGCGGUAAUACGUAGGGGGCAAGCGUUAUCCGGAUUUACUGGGUGUAAAGGGAGCGCAGACGGCAGCGCAAGUCUGGAGUGAAAGCCCGGGGCCCAACCCCGGAACUGCUCUGGAAACUGUGCGGCCAGAGUACUGGCGGG